Molecule: ribosomal RNA, 342 nt
Filed under: uncultured Glomeromycotina
Lineage: Eukaryota; Fungi; Glomeromycota
Description: SSU rRNA
Rfam family: Eukaryotic small subunit ribosomal RNA
Source: RNAcentral
AGCAGCCGCGGUAAUUCCAGCUCCGAUAGCGUAUAUUAAAGUUGUUGCAGUUAAAAGCUCGUAGUUGAAUUUCGGGACUAAUAUGUCGGUCGUGCCUCGGUACGUACUGGUUUAUUGGUUUCUCCUUUCUGAAGAACCAUGAUGUCAUUUAUUUGGUGUCGUGGGGAAUCAGGACUGUUACUUUGAAAAAUUGAGUGUUUAAAGCAGGCUCACGCUUGAAUACAUUAGCAUGGAAUAAUGAAAUAGGACGUUUGAUUCUAUUUUGUUGGUUUCUAGGAUCGACGUAAUGAUUAAUAGGGAUAGGUUGGGGGCAUUAGUAUUCAAUUGUCAGAGGUGAAAUUC